RNAcentral lists this transfer RNA (91 nucleotides) under Microseira wollei NIES-4236. RNAcentral describes it as "tRNA-Sec". The record is from RNAcentral. Lineage: Bacteria; Bacillati; Cyanobacteriota; Cyanophyceae; Aerosakkonematales; Aerosakkonemataceae.
UCUCGUUUCGGGAGGUUUCUCGUUCCCAGGUUCAACCUGGGAACGAGAUUCGGGAGGUUUCUCGUUCCCAGGUUCAACCUGGGAACGAGAU